Molecule: long non-coding RNA, 335 nt
Filed under: Elaeis guineensis (African oil palm)
Lineage: Eukaryota; Viridiplantae; Streptophyta; Magnoliopsida; Arecales; Arecaceae
Description: long non-coding RNA (EGUI_LNC050337)
Source: RNAcentral
GUGUUGAUUUUAGAGAGGAAAUGUUUCUCUUGAAGGUGUAAAAAAAGAAUGAAAGAAAGAUUCUCUCUCAUGCAUGAAAGAAAGAGAAGUGUUCUUCUCAUCAUUUUAGUGUAGUUAUCUCUAUCCUCCUGAUCUUCUUCUUCUCUAAGAGUAUUUCGAAAGAAAAGAAGAAUUCUCAUCAGCCGUCAAGAUACGAUCUUUGCAAGGGAGCUAGUACUUCGAUGAGAUCAAAGGUUUCUGAUCAGAUCGAGGCCUCGUGUAGAUAUCCGUAGAAGCCGGACACUUGUGCAGCUUCAACGGAUUUUCUGAGGGCAUCCAAGAUUAUCAUUUCGCAG